AAUAGAUACCCGGGUAGUCCACGCCGUAAACGAUGAGUGCUAAGUGUUAGAGGGUUUCCGCCCUUUAGUGCUGCAGCUAACGCAUUAAGCACUCCGCCUGGGGAGUACGGUCGCAAGACUGAAACUCAAAGGAAUUGACGGGGGCCCGCACAAGCGGUGGAGCAUGUGGUUUAAUUCGAAGCAACGCGAAGAACCUUACCAGGUCUUGACAUCCCACUGACCGGUAUAGAGAUAUACCUUUCCCUUCGGGGACAGUGGUGACAGGUGGUGCAUGGUUGUCGUCAGCUCGUGUCGUGAGAUGUUGGGUUAAGUCCCGCAACGAGCGCAACCCUUGAUCUUAGUUGCCAGCAUUUAGUUGGGCACUCUAAGGUGACUGCCGGUGACAAACCGGAGGAAGGUGGGGAUGACGUCAAAUCAUCAUGCCCCCUUAUGACCUGGGCUACACACGUGCUACAAUGGAUGGUACAAAGGGCUGCAAGCUGCGAAGUCAAGCCAAUCCCAUAAAACCCAUUCUCAGUUCGGAUUGCAGG
RNAcentral lists this ribosomal RNA (530 nucleotides) under uncultured bacterium. Its description in RNAcentral is "bacterial SSU rRNA". It matches the Rfam family "Bacterial small subunit ribosomal RNA", at positions 777 to 1304 of the family's 1533-position model. The record is from RNAcentral.